RNAcentral lists this unclassified non-coding RNA (985 nucleotides) under Hevea brasiliensis (rubber tree). The record is from RNAcentral. Lineage: Eukaryota; Viridiplantae; Streptophyta; Magnoliopsida; Malpighiales; Euphorbiaceae.
UUGAAGAAAUGCAUAAAUAAUUAAAUAAAUGAACUAAUAAAUAACAAAAAUAUAUAAAAAUAAAGGGUUUGGAGGAAUAGUAACAUGAUAUAAAUGCUGCAGAUAAAACAAUGGAGGAAACUGCAGCGAAGUAGCACCUUUGAAUACCCAUUACUAAAACGUGACUCUCGGCCACUCAAACAACGGACCCUACUAUGCCAAUCCCAUUAUCUAAACUAUGAAUUGUUUUUCUUUAGCUAUCCAUGAAAGGAGGAAAGCACAUUUUGAAAGCAACCCCAACUCUACGCCAUAAAGGAGGAAACAGUAUUCUAAGGUCCCUAUCCUUAAACAACUCCUUCAGGGCAUUCUCACUUCUGCUCUGCUCUAUAAACGACAAACAGAUUUGCAAGCAUACGGGGAUACCGAAGUCAACCUUUCCUUGCGUUUCUCCAGAAACAUCUGCAAAGAUUUUCUCCUAGCAAUUGGCAGAUCUCCGUCAAGAGUCCCCAGCAGCUGUUUUUGAUUGGUUGAUUCAACAAAUUUGGAGAUUCCAUUUUGGGCAAGUUUCAAAAUCGUCUCCGCCUUAUCUCGAGGAACAUCGAAAACCGCAACGGUUCCGUUGUAGAAGAUCGUCAAAGGAGCCGUUUGAGGAGGAUUCUCUAAAGCAGGCCUUUGAAGAGGAGAAUAGACAGGUAAAGGAGGAAAUGGAUUGAGUUCUUCUUUAGGAGUAGAAGGCACCGAAAAUGACUUUUUUGAAUCGAGCUGAUGGCCAUUUUCCGGAGUCUGCUGAUUGGCAGAGCCAGAGGCAAUUACAGACUUGAGAAGCUGAGGAUUGAUUUUUGAAAUGGCACUUUGAAUAUCUCGAAAGCUCCUCUGGCGAUGAAGGAACUUGGGGAAGCGAGAGUUAGCAGAGAUCCGUUUCUCCAUGCCAAAGAAAUCGAGCUCGACACUUGCUCUAGACAUUUCUGAUUAAAUCGAGAACGUUAUGAAGGUAGUAAAAAACGUA